Molecule: ribosomal RNA, 1470 nt
Filed under: uncultured Bordetella sp.
Lineage: Bacteria; Pseudomonadati; Pseudomonadota; Betaproteobacteria; Burkholderiales; Alcaligenaceae
Description: partial 16S-23S ribosomal RNA intergenic spacer
Rfam family: Bacterial small subunit ribosomal RNA
Source: RNAcentral
CGUAGGUAACAGAGAGUUCGAUCCCGGCUCAGAUUGAACGCUGGCGGGAUGCUUUACACAUGCAAGUCGAACGGCAGCACGGACUUCCGGUCUGCGGCGAGUGGCGAACGGGUGAGUAAUGUAUCGAACGCCUAGUAGCGGGGGAUAUCCGCGCGAAAGCGUAGCUAAUACCGCAUACGUCUCUCAGGGGAAAGCGGGGACCUUCGGGCCUCGCACUAUUAGGAGCGGCCGAUUAGCUGUUGGUAGCGGCUCACCAAGGCGACGAUCCGGUAGAAGUUCAGAGGGCGACGACCAGCCACACGGAUCGAGACACGGCCCCAGACCUCUACGGGAGGCAGCAGUGGGAAUUUUGACAAUGGGGAAACCCCGAUCCAGCCAUCCCGCGUGUGUGAUGACACUCGGGUUGAAGCACUUUUGGCAGGAAAGAAACGGUACGGGAUAAUACCCCGUGCAACUGACGGUACCUCCGCAGAAUAAGCACCGGCUAACUACGUGCCAGCAGCCGCGGUAAUACGGUGGGUGUGCAAGCGUUAAUCGGAAUUACACAUUAAGUGCAGCGUGCGCAGGUUCGGAAAGAAAGAUGUGAAAUCCCAUGAGCUUAACUUGGAACUGCAUUUUUAACUGAGCUAGAGUGUGUCAGGAGGGAGGUGGAAUUCCGCGUGUAGCAGUGAAAUGCGUAUGCGGAGGAACACCGAUGGCGGAAGGUAGCCUCCUGGGAUAACACUGACGCUCAUGCACGAAAGCGUGGGGAGCAAACAGGAUUAGAUACCCCGGUAGUCCACGCCCCUAAACGAUGUCAACUAGCUGUUAGCCUCUCGGCCUGGUGCGAAGCUGACCGCCUGUGAGAAUACGGUCGCAAGAUUAAAACUCAAAGGAAUUGACGGGGACUCGGCACAAGCGUGGUGGAUGAUGGAUGCACUUAUGCAACGUGCGAAAACCUUACCACCUUUGUAUUAUUGCCCGGAAUCCCGAAGCAGAGAUUUGGGGAGUGCUCGCAAGAGAACCGAACACAGGUGCUGCAUGGCUGUCGUCAGCUCGUGUCGUGAGAUGUUGGGUUAAGUCCCGGCAACGAGCGCAACCCUGUCAUUAGUUGCUACGAAAGGGUACCACGAGACUGCCGGUGACAAACUGAGGAAGGUGGGGAUGACGUCAAGUCCUCAUGGCCCUUAUGGGUAGGGCUUUACACGUCAUACAAUGGUCGGGACAGGUCGCCAGUCCCGCGAGGGGAGACAAUCCCAGAAACCCGGAUCGCAGUCCGGAUCGCAGUCUGCAACUCGACUGCGUGAAGCUGGAAUCGCUAGUAAUCGCGGAUCAGCAUGUCGCGGGUGAAUACGUUCCCGGGUCUUGCGUAUACACACCGCCCGUCACACCAUGGGAAGUGGUUUUACCAGAAGUAGUUAGCCUAACCGGUAAGGAGGGCGAUUACCACGGUAGGAUGUUAUGACUGGGGUGAAGUCGUAGUCAGCGUAG